GUGCCUACUCUAAUGGUUUGCCAUGAUUUGCCUCGGGGUUCCUGUGUUGCCUACCACUGAGAAUGGUAUUUUGAUUAUCUUGGAUUAUUUGUUCCGUCCGGGUCUCCUUGUGGAGAUGAUGGUGGAUUCAGUACAACGCAUGCGUUCCACAUGACUCUGAGAGACUAUUGUGGUAACAACUGCGGUUGUUGUUCUUUUGGAUGCGGUGAGUGCAUGCAACGGAUGUGGCUUCCAUUGUCCCGUUCAGUUAUAAAUAUUCCGUUGCCUUAAAAUGACUUUGCCCUGGUGC
RNAcentral lists this unclassified non-coding RNA (289 nucleotides) under Galactia argentea. Its description in RNAcentral is "partial external transcribed spacer". The record is from RNAcentral. Lineage: Eukaryota; Viridiplantae; Streptophyta; Magnoliopsida; Fabales; Fabaceae.